UUGCCUAUGUGUGAACAUGCAAGACUUGCAAAAGCUGUUGGCUCGAGUCGGCCUGGCUCAUGUCCCGUUUUCAGUCUGGCUUUACCCCGCUGUUAGAAGACACUUUCGACCACAGAAUAAAUUGUAUCUUAGCUCUCUGCAAAUAGCACAUUUCUAUGGUGGCGUCGCUAACUAUUCUAAAGGUUUGUUUUAGCUCCAUCGAAUACAAAGAGGCACUCAAUAUUAAGUGUUUUGUUCGAACACAAACGUUAAUUUAGAGCUUAAAAUACGAUAUUUAUUUUUAAUAUGCGUUGACAACAAAAACAUUUAGUUUUACUUUGCUUUGACAAAACAAAACCGAGUAAAGCAUAUGUAAAUAUUAGCCUAUUAUUUCAGACACUGCGUCUAGGUUCACAGAAAUGAAGCAAUAAUGCCAUGUGUUACGUUAAAACUAGGCCAGUAGAAUACUGAUGUCUAUAUGAAGAGGCGAGUUACCAUAUAUUUCUCAUUUGAAUGAUUAUCUUCACCAAAAAUAAAACGUUCUGCUGGGCAGGUGUCAUUUUAAUUCUCUGGUUUGGAUUGAUUAUUCAACAAAGAUUGAGAUGUGCAGGUAAACCCACUGAUACAUUUAAUACACUGUUUCUUACAGAGGAAGUGCAAACAUAUUCCAGGAUCUGAUAUAAAUUGGGAGUAGGGACACUAAGAAAAAGAAGAACCGCCUGCCUAUUACAAAUUUAAUGAGUCAUGUUUGGCAACCGACUUCACAAAAUAUGAUGAUGUAAAAUUCCAAGACGUUACACCCGUGCGAUAUGCAGAACGAAGUUACUACAGCAGCUUCACCUUUAAUGCUUCAGAAAACUGCCCGCAGAAAGACUGCAAUCAAGGAUCAUCCAGUCAAAAUGCUGAUUUUGAAACGGGUAAGUGUGCUUUUAUUUGCACAUUAAUAGUCUGCUGUGCAUUUCAUUUAAUUUGCGGUCCAUUACUACUAGUCUGUUACUGCCUGUUGUUUGAACCGAAACAUCCAGCACUGUCAAACAUUAACUGCACUCGCAUAGAUUUCAAAUUGUGAAACUACUAGCUUCGGGAAAAAAAAAAAAAAAACAUUAAACACAUUUAAAAAAAAUACUUGAAAGUGCUGGAUUAUACCACAAAAUCCAUGGUAAAACCAAUAGACAUACUAAUUGCAUUUUUAUUCUGCAGAUGAAAAAACCAACUACAUGUCAAUGGGCCUCUAUUGGCUGAGAAUUCUCUUUCUGAAGACUGUUGUGUUCAAUGUCCUGAUGACUUUCAAAGCAUGGAUGAGCUAACGUGAGUGAAAUGUUAUAUCUUGUGACAGUGGGUCUCAUUCACUAACUGCGUGUUAACACAUUUGUGUGUAAAAACUUUUUCAUACAGAAAUCAAGGUUUAUUAAUAAGUUGCAGGAUAACAUUUAGAACCAACUGAAACCACACAUACAAAAAAAAAACGAUUCCUAGCAGACUGUUUUACAGUCAUUUAACAAAAAUGGUUUGCAAAGUUGCAUAGUUUCUAAAAAUGGUCAAUCACGUGUAGUCUAGG
RNAcentral lists this long non-coding RNA (1537 nucleotides) under Sinocyclocheilus rhinocerous. RNAcentral's name for it is "lncRNA (ENSSRHG00000024794.1)". The record is from RNAcentral. Lineage: Eukaryota; Metazoa; Chordata; Actinopteri; Cypriniformes; Cyprinidae.